This 258-nucleotide ribosomal RNA is filed under the name uncultured bacterium. RNAcentral's name for it is "partial 16S ribosomal RNA". The record is from RNAcentral.
CUGCUGCCUUCCGUAGGAGUUUGGUCCGUGUCUCAGUACCAAUGUGGGGGGUUAACCUCUCAGUCCCCCUAUGUAUCGUCGCCUUGGUGAGCCGUUACCACACCAACCAGCUAAUACAACGCAUGCCCAUCAUCAACCACCGGAGUUUUCAACCCCAUGCGAUGCCGCAUGAGAUAUUAUGGGGUAUUAGUACCAAUUUCUCAGUGUUAUCCCCCUGUUGAUGGUAGGUUGCAUACGCGUUACGCACCCGUGCGCCGG